AAUUAAUGAACUUGUAAAAGUAUAUAUUUUGAAAAUAUAAAAAAGAGGGAAUUCCUCUAUUAAUUU
This 66-nucleotide transfer RNA is filed under the name Carpelimus sp. CAR01. RNAcentral describes it as "tRNA-Ser". The record is from RNAcentral. Lineage: Eukaryota; Metazoa; Arthropoda; Insecta; Coleoptera; Staphylinidae.